GGGACUGGCAGAUUAUUGCAAAAGGGCACGGGGCAGAGGGACUAUGUUGUGAGCCUGCGAAAGAAGUUUGUGUGGGGACUGUGGGCAGUGAACGCGUUGGGAACAAUAUGGAAAACUGGGAGCCGCCUUGGAAUCUACAGGGCCGGAGAGACCGAGGGGCUCACUAGGUUGACCAGGCUGGUCUUGAACUCCUGGCCUCAAGCCAUCCUCCCACCUCAGCCUCCCAAAGUGCUGGGAUUACAUGCAUGAGCCACCACAUCCAGCCUACCUAAAAUAUUGAAUGCUGUUAAUAAAUCUCCUGAGGCCAGCAUAAGAAGGUGAUGGGCAAAACUAAUGCAGUAGGAGCUGAAAUCGACCAGGGGGUUCUUAUCCAACAGACAGCAGCAAAACUCUUUGUGUAUCUGCGUUCCUUUCAACAAGUGUGACUUCCUCCAUGGCAUCAUUCGUGAGCGUAACACAGAGCUCAGCAAUAACGUUUCUUCACUAACCCUACCAGGGUUUCAGUUGUGCAAUUUCACCAUUAGCAAAGCUUUUUGCUGAAAUCUGGCUUUUCAAAGGGAGAGUAUCCAGAAACAGAAGAUGCUGCUCUGAGAGGCUCUUCCUAAUAGAACUGCUGCUUCAGUUUAGCUUGAAAAAGCCCACACCCAGUUCCUAAUGACAAACAUCUGAACACCGGGUCUUCCCACGAGCAAGACCAUGCUAUGCCUCCUGCUCGCUCUGUUCUAUAAGCAACCCACAGAUUGCUCCCUGUGAAGAGGAGCCUGCCAGGGGAGCAGCAUUCCACCAGACCCUGAUUUAGCAAGAUAUUUCCGUAUCAUUCCCCCAACCAGCUGGAAGUCCUCCACUGCUCUUGUGUAAAAAUCUAACUCAUCUCGCUGAAUUUCCUGAUUUAAAAGUCUAAUUCAUUUCACCAAAAGUGUGACAGAAGGAAACCAAGUACACCAUCUCUCUCUUACCAAACCGAAGCUAUUGCAUGUGCAUUCUGGGGGAAAAAAUGGUCCAAAUAUGUUAUGGAGGGGGUGCCAGCCCAGUGUCAUCCUCUUACUAUUGCCAUAGGAUCUUGGCUGAUGGCAUCAGAGGAAAAACAAGUUUAUCGAUUACUUUCAACCAUUAAGCUCACUCCUCCAUGAAAAAUAAGUCACAAGUCCAAUGUCUCUUAUUAAAAUAAGCACUGCAAAAUACAAA
This 1185-nucleotide long non-coding RNA is filed under the name Homo sapiens (human). Its description in RNAcentral is "PGM5P3 antisense RNA 1". The record is from RNAcentral. Lineage: Eukaryota; Metazoa; Chordata; Mammalia; Primates; Hominidae.